RNAcentral lists this ribosomal RNA (407 nucleotides) under uncultured eukaryote. RNAcentral's name for it is "SSU rRNA". It matches the Rfam family "Eukaryotic small subunit ribosomal RNA", at positions 587 to 972 of the family's 1831-position model. The record is from RNAcentral.
AGCUCCAAUAGCGUAUAUUAAAGCUGUUGCAGUUACAAAACUUGUAGUUGGAUUUCUAGCUGGAUUUCUAGCUGGAUUUCUAGCUGGGCAUAUGGGUCUACUCUUAUGAGUGUGCACUAUACAUGUCUGGCCACCCUUUGGGAGAGCCACAGUGGCAUUAAGUUGUUGGUGUGGGGAUUCCAAUCCUUUACUGUGAAGAAAUUAUAGUGCUCAAAGCAGGCUUACGCCGUUGAAUAUUUUAGGAUAUAAUAAUAACAUAGAACUAUUGUACUAUUUUGUUGGUUUGCGCACAAUAGUAACAAUUAAUAGGGACAGUUGGGGGUAUUUGUAUUCCAUUAUCAGAGGUGAAGUUCUUCGAUUUUUUUUAAAACAAACUACUGCAAAAGCAUUUAUCAAAGAUGUUUUUA